CAUAAAGCCAGCUAACAUUUGUGAUGCAGAAACAUAAUUUUAAAAACCCAAAUGAUGAAUCAAGAAGGUGGGAUCUUUCUAGCAGCAAAUGUGAGGAUGGUGGAUCACAAGUCCCAAAUUGGGAAGACCCUUGAUUAAAUUAUGUCAUUUUAGACAUUUUUUUAUAUGCUACGUUCCUUGAGGGAAGAGUUUUAUUUUGGUAUUAUAGAGGUGUUCAUGUUUAAUUGCAGAGUUGUAUUACAAAACAUGAAGGUGGUUCGACCUUUUCCAGAUAUUGGCAGAUACACCAUGAUCUUCCACAAACGAGACAACGGCAACGAGGUCAACCAAAAGAG
Molecule: non-coding RNA, 335 nt
Organism: Pelobates cultripes (western spadefoot toad)
Lineage: Eukaryota; Metazoa; Chordata; Amphibia; Anura; Pelobatidae
Source: the annotation of a GenBank genome assembly